RNAcentral lists this long non-coding RNA (298 nucleotides) under Struthio camelus australis. RNAcentral describes it as "lncRNA (ENSSCUG00000001851.1)". The record is from RNAcentral. Lineage: Eukaryota; Metazoa; Chordata; Aves; Struthioniformes; Struthionidae.
GAGGAACAAGUGAAUAGGUUUACCCUUCUUGAUGUACUCUUAGAUCCCUUCUGCACUGAGAUUUGACUACUGACUAUCUGAUUAUCCACAGAAACUGAAACAGAGCAAAUGAGCAGUUCUCUGAGGUACGGAGGACAAGAGUGAAGCACCCGUUCAGAACUAUGCAGACCCGAGACCAGAACAUUCGCGUGAGAAAGGUACCACAACUCUCCCAGAGCAUCGCACUGCAACCGCAAUGGAAGGAUCUAUUCUCUGCUCUAAGAAGAGAGCGUUUUCCCUGCAGAAUCUGCUACAAGGU